AACGAACGCUGGCGGCAUGCCUAACACAUGCAAGUCGAACGAGACCUUCGGGUCUAGUGGCGCACGGGUGCGUAACGCGUGGGAACCUGCCCUUAGGUUCGGAAUAACUCCCCGAAAGGGGUGCUAAUACCGGUUAAUGUCUUCGGACCAAAGAUUUAUCGCCUUUGGAUGGGCCCGCGUUGGAUUAGCUAGUUGGUAGGGUAAAAGCCUACCAAGGCGACGAUCCAUAGCUGGUCUGAGAGGAUGAUCAGCCACACUGGGACUGAGACACGGCCCAGACUCCUACGGGAGGCAGCAGUGGGGAAUAUUGGACAAUGGGCGAAAGCCUGAUCCAGCAAUGCCGCGUGAGUGAUGAAGGCCUUAGGGUUGUAAAGCUCUUUUACCCGGGAUGAUAAUGACAGUACCGGGAGAAUAAGCUCCGGCUAACUCCGU
This 432-nucleotide ribosomal RNA is filed under the name uncultured bacterium. RNAcentral describes it as "partial 16S ribosomal RNA". It matches the Rfam family "Bacterial small subunit ribosomal RNA", at positions 29 to 506 of the family's 1533-position model. The record is from RNAcentral.